Molecule: ribosomal RNA, 330 nt
Filed under: Myxotrichaceae sp. 6724-S6
Lineage: Eukaryota; Fungi; Ascomycota; Leotiomycetes; Myxotrichaceae
Also listed under: 2 other names
Description: eukaryotic LSU rRNA
Rfam family: 5.8S ribosomal RNA (bases 1-126)
Source: RNAcentral
UGCAUCGAUGAAGAACGCAGCGAAAUGCGAUAAGUAAUGCGAAUUGCAGAAUUCAGUGAGUCAUCGAAUCUUUGAACGCACAUUGCGCCCUGUGGUAUUCCGCAGGGCAUGCCUGUUCGAGCGUCAUUUCAACCCUCAAGCUUUGCUUGGUGUUGGGCCCUGCCCGCGCGGCCGGCCCCAAAGACAGUGGCGGCGCCGUCUGGCUCUAAGCGUAGUACAACUCUCGCUCUAGGGUCCGGCGGUGUCUCGCCAGAACCCCCAACUUCUAUGGUUGACCUCGGAUCAGGUAGGGAUACCCGCUGAACUUAAGCAUAUCAAUAAGCGGAGGAA